Long non-coding RNA from Uranotaenia lowii, 287 nucleotides. RefSeq lists it as uncharacterized. The transcript is spliced from 3 exons. NCBI's taxonomy places the organism in Eukaryota, Metazoa, Arthropoda, Insecta, Diptera, Culicidae. The record is from RefSeq and is a predicted model, not a curated record.
GUCCAUACCAGCAACACACCAUCCGAUUGUCCGCGUGAACCAAUUAAGCAGACAUCCGGCUCAAUUCGAACAUCCACACUCUUCAGAUUCGGAACCCGGAGCCUCAGCAGGAACCGGUCAUUCCGGAGAGUUGAACAGAGCUCCUCGAUCCACAGACUUGUCGCAGAGCAGCGGCUAACUUAGCCCAAAAGCCACGCAUUUUCGGAUGCAACUGAUCGUUGACACAACUCGGAUCGGAAUACGAAACUUCUGGGAAGAAGUAACUCAACACAGCCGAGCAUAAAGGG